Molecule: ribosomal RNA, 716 nt
Filed under: uncultured Thiomicrospira ML-1
Lineage: Bacteria; Pseudomonadati; Pseudomonadota; Gammaproteobacteria; Thiotrichales; Piscirickettsiaceae
Description: bacterial SSU rRNA
Rfam family: Bacterial small subunit ribosomal RNA
Source: RNAcentral
ANNCUAAGAACGCUGGCGGUAGGCUUAACACAUGCAAGUCGAACGGAAACGAUGAGAAGCUUGCUUUUCAGGCGUCGAGUGGCGGACGGGUGAGUAACGCGUGGGAAUCUACCCUAUAGUUGGGGACAACGUAUGGAAACGUACGCUAAUACCGAAUACGCUCUAGGGAGUAAAGGAGCCCUCUUCCUGAAAGGUUUCGCUAUAGGAUGAGCCCGCGUUAGACUAGCUAGUUGGUAAGGUAAAGGCUUACCAAGGCCACGAUCUAUAGCUGGUUUGAGAGGAUGAUCAGCCACACUGGGACUGAGACACGGCCCAGACUCCUACGGGAGGCAGCAGUGGGGAAUAGCCCGAGGGUUGUAAAGCACUUUCAAUAGGGAGGAAGAUUAGACAGUUAAUACCUGUUUAGUUUGACGUUACCUAUAGAAGAAGCACUGGCUAACUCUGUGCCAGCAGCCGCGGUAAUACAGAGGGUGCAAGCGUUAUUCGGAAUUACUGGGCGUAAAGCGCGCGUAGGCGGAUGAUUAAGUCAGUUGUGAAAGCCCCGGCUCAACCUGGGAACUGCAUCUGAUACUGGUCAUCUAGAUUUAAGAGAGGGAAGUGGAAUUCCAGGUGUAGCAGUGAAAUGCGUAGAUAUCUGGAGGAACAUCAGUGGCGAAGGCGACUUCCUGGCUUAAAACUGACGCUGAGGUGCGAAAGCGUGGGUAGCGAACGGGAUU